This 468-nucleotide ribosomal RNA is filed under the name uncultured bacterium. RNAcentral describes it as "partial 16S ribosomal RNA". It matches the Rfam family "Bacterial small subunit ribosomal RNA", at positions 28 to 507 of the family's 1533-position model. The record is from RNAcentral.
GACGAACGCUGGCGGCGUGCUUAACACAUGCAAGUCGAACGGAAAGGCCCUGCUUUUGUGGGGUGCUCGAGUGGCGAACGGGUGAGUAACACGUGAGUAACCUGCCCUUGACUUUGGGAUAACUUCAGGAAACUGGGGCUAAUACCGGAUAGGAGCUCCUGCUGCAUGGUGGGGGUUGGAAAGUUUCGGCGGUUGGGGAUGGACUCGCGGCUUAUCAGCUUGUUGGUGGGGUAGUGGCUUACCAAGGCUUUGACGGGUAGCCGGCCUGAGAGGGUGACCGGCCACAAUGGGACUGAGAGACGGCACAGACUGGUACGGGAGGCAGCAGUGGGGAAUAUUGCACAAUGGGCGGAAGCCUGAUGCAGCAACGCCGCGUGCGGGAUGACGGCCUUCGGGUUGUAAACCGCUUUCGCAGGUGACGAAGAGUGAGUGACGGUAAUGGGUAAAGAAGCACCGGCUAACUACGUG